GCCGAAGUGGUGGAACUGGUAGACACGCCGGACUCAAAAUCCGGUGGAGGUUAUACUUCGUGAGGGUUCGAGUCCCUCCUUCGGUA
This 86-nucleotide transfer RNA is filed under the name Candidatus Dojkabacteria bacterium. RNAcentral's name for it is "tRNA-Leu". It matches the Rfam family "tRNA". Rfam says of the family: Transfer RNA (tRNA) molecules are approximately 80 nucleotides in length. The record is from RNAcentral.